GUUCGCUAUCAUUACCCGAUAUAUCGGGCAUCGAUUUUUAUGUCCCAAAGUAAUUUCCUCAAAAUUUUGCCGAAAAUCAACAGAGCAAGGCCAAAGCCAUUGACAUCUUUUCAAGCACAUCCCCAUCAUCAUCAUCAUCAUUGGGUGGUUGAAAAGCGAAAACAUUUCCACAACAGAAACUUGGGAAUAAGUGAGAACUGGGCAAACUAGUGAUAGAAAAAAUAGUUUGCCAAAAGAGAGAGAGCUUCGAUUUUGCAGUACAAACGUGUGGGUGGGCAGAGCAAUGGCUGCUGAGGUGUUUUAUCGAUUGGCACUAACCACAAAUACAUUUUACCAGAAGAAUAAAGUACAAGGAUGGAACCUUUACGCUUGACAGCCAUGAAGAAAUGAAUGUGCCCAGUGGAACCAGCCGCAGGAGGAGGAGCAGCGAGGCUUAGCCCCACUUUGUGUCACAUUAUGGAGACAUCAAGCACACAGACGGGACUCGUACGUAUACGAAAUAGCAACAGCGAUUAAAGUGAAAAAAUACUGCCCUUAGGGGACCCACUGGGAGUGGCAAAGGCACACAGAAAUUUCGAACUUGAAUCCAAAAAAAUAUCGCGAUAUUAGUAACUACAAAACAACAGACAAAAACACGUAGAAGAGGAGCUUGAAACGUCGGGAGAAGUGGGAGUAGAAAAUUAGAAUAUAAGUACAAAUCAUAAUUUUAAGGCAGAAAUCUCUAGAGAUGAGCUUUCAGCACCGCCACUGGCUACUGUCUGGCCACGUUUUGAGGCUCCUCCCCCUUGGGCUCCCUUUUUUCGGCAGGUAUAAUCCCUCAAAGCGAAAACACACAACUCAAGCAUUUUGGACGCUUCUUUUGAAACUUCACUUUGGCUUUAUAUGUAUGGCAGGCGCUGUAUGUUUUAUGCUGUAUGUAUCGACGUGUGUGUGUGUGUGUGUGUGUGUGUGUGCAAGACGAGCCAACAUUUUAUGCGCUUCGUCGCUUUUCGUCUACUCCAAAAUGAUUUGCCUUUAGCCAGGAGACCCCAGACCCCGGCCCAUCCACUUUGCCUCAAGUUCAAUUUAUUUUGCGCAUAAAAAAUAUAAGCAUUUCUUUGCCAGGCUUUUCCUUCCACUUGUGUCCAUGCCAUGGGUUCUCUGUGGCUGUGUGUGUCUGGAAAUUCAGGAAAUUUGCCUAUUCAACUAAAGCAAAAGAUAGAGAUGAGCGGCAGACAGAUGAGAUUUGACGUUUAUAAGGCUGCUUACUCCUGGAAUUUAUGGGGACGGGGUUCUAAAUUUAUAAAUUUAUUUGAGCUCAGAAAUAAAG
This 1309-nucleotide long non-coding RNA is filed under the name Drosophila guanche. Lineage: Eukaryota; Metazoa; Arthropoda; Insecta; Diptera; Drosophilidae. The record is from RNAcentral.